Non-coding RNA from Xylaria acuta, 76 nucleotides. Lineage: Eukaryota; Fungi; Ascomycota; Sordariomycetes; Xylariales; Xylariaceae. The record is from the annotation of a GenBank genome assembly.
UCCCGAAUGGUGGAGUGGCUAACAUAUCGCGUUUCACCCCGGGGUUCGGGGUUCCGUUCGAUUCCCCGUUCGGGAG